GUAGUCGUAUUCACAUCAAUCCACAUGUGUUGAAGUGGAUUGGAGUGGAACUUGAACUAAAUUCCACCUCAAUCUACACCAACACACAUGGAUUAAAGUGAAUCCAAUA
MicroRNA precursor from Sorghum bicolor (sorghum), 109 nucleotides. It matches the Rfam family "MIR5565 microRNA precursor family". The record is from Rfam. NCBI's taxonomy places the organism in Eukaryota, Viridiplantae, Streptophyta, Magnoliopsida, Poales, Poaceae.